CCACGUCUGAGUGUAAGGAUAAAGUAGCCAUUAAGCGACUGACGCUGUUUUUGAGUUGUGUUCCCAGGAAUAUGUUGGCGUACAGGACAUGCCAGAGAGUCGGUGAACUGCCCCACUUGACGGCCAUCUGCACGAGCCACAAAAGAACGGAGCACUGCAAAAAAGAACUUCCUGAGGAGCGGGAGGAGGCCCCAAUGUCAUUUCUAUGACUGACAGCUCAUUUUUUCUGCAUUCGAAUGGCCGCCCUUGACAUGAAAUGGAUUUCCAAUUGAUGGGAAUUAAAGAGGCAGACGAGACCGUGGGAGAAAAAAGGCGGUUGGCCGAGUGGAGGCAAAGUGACUCAUCCUUGAACUGGAGCAGGGAAAGCGAUCGAUGGUGUCAAACCGAGAGGAGAAAGAUGUUCUCCCCUGAGAAGAGGGAGGUUGUGUUAGGAUGAAGAGCUCCCUAAAAACAAAAGUGAAAGGACACUU
Molecule: long non-coding RNA, 470 nt
Organism: Entelurus aequoreus (snake pipefish)
Lineage: Eukaryota; Metazoa; Chordata; Actinopteri; Syngnathiformes; Syngnathidae
Exons: 3
Source: RefSeq, a predicted model, not a curated record